AUGGCUUGCUUCAAGCUCAACCCCACGUCCGUCGCGCUCGCCGCAGCCGUCGCCGUCAUCCUGGCGGUGGCGGCGCCGCGGCCGGCGGCCGGGGCGUCGGCGCACCUGCACGUGUACAUGCACGACGUGAUGGACGACAGCGCGAUGAUGGUGGUGCGCGGUCCGCGGGGCAACUUCGGCAACACGGUGGUGAUGGACGACGUGCUGACGGAGGGCACGUCGUCGUCGUCGGCCGCCGUGGGGCGUGCGCAGGGGCAGUACGUCGUCGCCUCCUCCAAGGGCGGGUUCGAGCUGAUGGUGACCAUGAACGUGGUGCUCACGUCGGGGGCCUACGCGGGGAGCUCGGUGACGGUGAUGGGCCGCGACGACACCGGCGUGGCGGUGCGCGAGCUGGCCGUGGUCGGCGGCACGGGGCAGUUCCGGAUGGCGAAGGGCUACGUGCUGUGGAAGACCGUCCGCCCCGACCUGCUGGAGCUCGACAUCUACGUCAACCCAUGA
RNAcentral lists this ribosomal RNA (498 nucleotides) under Triticum aestivum (bread wheat). RNAcentral's name for it is "partial small subunit ribosomal RNA". Lineage: Eukaryota; Viridiplantae; Streptophyta; Magnoliopsida; Poales; Poaceae. The record is from RNAcentral.